RNAcentral lists this ribosomal RNA (287 nucleotides) under Vibrio cholerae. RNAcentral's name for it is "partial 16S ribosomal RNA". It matches the Rfam family "Bacterial small subunit ribosomal RNA", at positions 1 to 284 of the family's 1533-position model. The record is from RNAcentral. Lineage: Bacteria; Pseudomonadati; Pseudomonadota; Gammaproteobacteria; Vibrionales; Vibrionaceae.
UAAUUGAAGAGUUUGAUCAUGGCUCAGAUUGAACGCUGGCGGCAGGCCUAACACAUGCAAGUCGAGCGGCAGCACAGAGGAACUUGUUCCUUGGGUGGCGAGCGGCGGACGGGUGAGUAAUGCCUGGGAAAUUGCCCGGUAGAGGGGGAUAACCAUUGGAAACGAUGGCUAAUACCGCAUAACCUCGCAAGAGCAAAGCAGGGGACCUUAGGGCCUUGCGCUACCGGAUAUGCCCAGGUGGGAUUAGCUAGUUGGUGAGGUAAGGGCUCACCAAGGCGACGAUCCCU